Cyprinodon tularosa is the source of this 854-nucleotide long non-coding RNA. RefSeq lists it as uncharacterized. NCBI's taxonomy places the organism in Eukaryota, Metazoa, Chordata, Actinopteri, Cyprinodontiformes, Cyprinodontidae. The transcript has 2 exons. The record is from RefSeq and is a predicted model, not a curated record.
UCUUUUAAGUUUGCUGUCACCGUCAGAGAUCAGAUUCCUCAAGCACUCUAUCUUUCUUACAAGAAUGGACUCACUUGGAAACUCACCUGGCUGUCCCUUGCAGCUCUACUUCUCAAGUCAUCUACUAUCACCAUCUGCCUGUCCACGCUCCCGCAUUUAAUCAUGAAGAUUCCCUGCAGAAAGGAAACCAUUUAGGAACGAUGCCACCUUCCACAACAUGUUUCACUGCAGGCGGCUUGGAGCAAAGAGAGUUCUCCCCAGAGCCUUGACCUAACCCCCACUUCAAAUUGUGAUCUGCAAAACAAAUCCAUAGCCAUUGGAUAAAAAUACUUUCACAGAGUCUUCGGGAUAAUAAAUCUGAUUCACUGAUACUGGUGACUUAUGUCCGAUUUUAGAAAAACAAAAAAUCAAAACAUGGACGGGAACAAAAUAAUAGAUUGAUGAGAAGAAGGCCCUCCAACCUCAACGACAUGGAACUCAUCACUGAAGAUAUAUAAUCCAAAUGACCAUAAAAACAUCAAAAAUCAAAUAAAAUUUGCUGCUGUAAUAUGAGUCAUCCAAUGAAAGGGUAUUCAUACUGACAAUCUGUUUUUGUAAUAAUAUAUUUUUUAAAAAUCGAUAAUUUUAAGACAGAUUUUUUUCUUUUUUUUAAGUGACUGUCUAAUUUACUGUAAAAAAGGUAAUAAUUGGUUGAUAAUACCGAGUGUACCCAGUACCCAUUGUAUUUGUCUGUAUCAUUGUUGUAUUAUCAGUGUUCUAAGAGUGCAUUUUUAAGACUUCACAGCUAAAAAACCUAUUUGCAUUGAUAUUAAAUGAUCCAUGUCAUUAAAAGGUCUGUAAUCUGAGAGCUGAAA